GCUCACCAGACUUCUGAUUUGAUUUUACAAAAGUUGUACAAGAGUUGUGAUUUUUGGCAGCUAAUGAAACUUUUGAUGUCCAAGGUUUUAAGUCAUUUUUUUUUUUUUUCCUUUUUCCCUCUUCAUUUUGGAAUCAAAGGUGCAAAAUGGUUAGGAAGUGAAAUACAUUACCAGGACUACUGGAGGAUGUCAGCCAAAGUAUCUCUUCUGUGUCUCAAUGGGUUCGCUGCAUUGAUAGUCUGUGCGGCUGGAAUGUAAACAAGGAGGGCUCGGCAAGCGAGGCGGAGGAAGGUGAAGAAGCAAACUCCAGAGAUUGUGCUGGGUAAUAUAGAACAGCCCUGAUAUGAUUUUAAUUAGAGCACAUGCCACAGGAUCAUUUACUCACAAAAAAAUAUUCAAGGAAUUGUGGGCUAGAAACCUCUGUUUAGAGGAAACUUUUCUGCCCUAGGCUGCUUCAAGAUGUUACUACAUUAGCUAGAUUUAAAUAAGUGUGGCUCAUUCCAGAUUCAGUGCCCCCGAGUCUUUCUGGCAUGACGGCCACUUUCUACUAAAUUCCUGUCACUAAUCAACAAGGACAUUGCUGCAAAGCAGAGCUUGGAGGAUGUUUGGGCAGGACAGAUUAAAUGAAAUGGAAUCAGAGCAGCUUGGUUCCAAAUUAAGUCUCUCUCUUUCGCUAGCUCUUGAUGCUACAGAUUGCUGCCUACUUCUGAUCUUCUAACAGCAAGUACCUUCCAUAAGUGAGGUUAACACUGCUUAAUUCAGAAGUGCAUUGAACUGAGGAGCUGAGACAUUAAAUAACCUUUCAUAAGGAUAUGGAAAGAAUUCAAGUUUCCUGCCUCCCUGCAUAAAAUAUUAUUUGUGUCACACACAGAAGUCCAAGUCAAGAGUUGCCCUGUUACUUCAGGCAUGUAAUAAGCAAUUACUUUUCUGCAGAGCUUUCCUAGAUGAGAAAAGUUAAAGGCUUCUGUUACAGGUAAACUAACUCAGGAUCAAGUGACUCAACCAAGAUCACACAAGAAUCCUGUGACAGUCUUGAGAACAGCUCUUUCCCCCUCCUCCAGCACCAUCAUUACAAAGUCAUUUUGUUUCUCUAAGACUGCAGCAAAUGAACUUAAUGAGAGUGAUCAGGGCAAUGGGAAUGAUCCCAUUAUGCUGUCAGGGCUUAGAAAAUGCUGAUUCUGAAAACAGCAGGCUAGGGAAAUGUUUAAUUUCUCAAAUCCUUCACUAACUUAGUACUUCCAAAAAACUUUCAAAUAUUUUUUCUUUUCCCUGUUCCACAAAUGAAGAUCUAUAUUACUAGGAGGUAAAGCACAUCUGGUAGAACAGGUCAUUACAAACAGAGACCCUGGACAGAGCAACGACUCACAGCAAGUACAGAGGACCUGUGAAGUAGAUCUCAUCUUUCAUCUAAGCUAAUUAAAAUAUUCUUUGGACAACCAGUUAGUAUACGAUUUUUAAAACAAUUAUUUUAACAAGGUCUUCUAAUUAUUAGUGAUGUAAUUUCUGUAAAGCACAGAGAAUUUAAAAAAACAGAAAGAAAUGGUGAUACAUGGCUAUUUCCCUGGGUCUCUCAUAUACCCAUGUAAACACAAAGCAGCUCUUUGGAGUUCUCUGAGGUCACGUUGAGGUGAAACUCAUGAGAGUGGGAUACAUACCUGCUACUGCUCUGUGCACAGUGGAAAGUAUCAUUUGUAAAUAACAACCUUGAAGUAAAAAAAAAAAAUAAAUAAAAAUACAGCCAUCA
Molecule: long non-coding RNA, 1744 nt
Filed under: Anas platyrhynchos platyrhynchos (common mallard)
Lineage: Eukaryota; Metazoa; Chordata; Aves; Anseriformes; Anatidae
Description: lncRNA (ENSAPLG00000018315.1)
Source: RNAcentral